This 867-nucleotide ribosomal RNA is filed under the name Pectobacterium carotovorum. RNAcentral describes it as "bacterial SSU rRNA". It matches the Rfam family "Bacterial small subunit ribosomal RNA", at positions 581 to 1449 of the family's 1533-position model. The record is from RNAcentral. Lineage: Bacteria; Pseudomonadati; Pseudomonadota; Gammaproteobacteria; Enterobacterales; Pectobacteriaceae.
UGUACGUCAUAUGAGACAUCCGCUAGCUUAACGUAGUACAGCGUUUGAAGGUGGCUAGCUUGAGUCUUGUAGAGGGGGGUAGACUUCCAGGUGCAGUGGUGAAAUAGUAGAGAUCUGGAGGAAUCCCGGUGAAGAAGGCGGCCCCCUGCACCAAGACUGACGCUCAGGUGCGACAGGGGGGGGUGCAAGCAGGAUUAGAUAUCGUGGUACUCCCCCCUGUAAAUGAUGUCGAUUUGGAGGUUGUACCCUUGAGGCGAGGCUUCAGGAGCUAACGCGUUAAUUCGCCCGCCUGGGGAGUGCGGCCACAAGGUUAAAACUCAAAAAAAUUGGCGGGGGCCCGCACAAGCGGUGGAACAUGUGGUUUAUUUAGAUGCAACGAAAAGCCCCUUACCUCCUUUUCACAUCCACAGAAUUCGGUAGAGAUACUUUAGCCCUUUCGGGAACUGUCACACAGGAGCCACAUGGCUGUUCUGAUCUCGUGUUGUGAAAUUUUGGGUUAACUCCCACAAAGAGCACACCCUUUCUCUUUUGUUCCCAACGGUUUGGCCGGGAACUCAAAGGAGACUCCCAGUGAUAACCUGGAGGAAGGUGGGGAUGACGUCAAGUCAUCAUGCCCCUUCCGACUAGGGCUCCCCACGUGCUCCGAUGGCGUAUCCAAAGAGAACCGACCUCGCGAGAUCAACCAAUCCUCAUAAACUAAGUUCUAUUCCGGAUUGGAUUUUCCAAUUGGAUUCCAUGAAUUGGGAAUCGUUAGUAAUCGUAGAUCACAAUGCUACGGUGAAUACGUUCCCGGGCCUUGUACACACCGCCCGUCACACCAUGGGAGUGGGUGCAACAAGAAGCUAGGUAGCUUAACCUCGGAGGCGG